Apodemus sylvaticus (European woodmouse) is the source of this 127-nucleotide small nucleolar RNA. RefSeq annotates it as small nucleolar RNA SNORA5. The record is from RefSeq and is a predicted model, not a curated record. NCBI's taxonomy places the organism in Eukaryota, Metazoa, Chordata, Mammalia, Rodentia, Muridae. The transcript has a single exon.
GGCUGCGAGUCAAAUUUAGUUUUCAUCCUUUAAUGGUGGGAGCUGGCCCAGAUGGCUGCCGCAGCAAGCUCAGCUGUUCUUGGGCUCUGUGUCCCCUGCACUGGGGACAUUAUAACUAGUAACAUUU